GCCACUUUUUACCUUUCUACGCCUUAACAUCUCACAGGAAUUUGCACUUUCCUUUUUUAUGCGGGAAACUGAAGAAUAAUAAUAACCAACACACCUUCUCACAACUAGUUUGGAGAUGGAGAAAAUGAAGGCUGGGGUGAGAAAAGCAACCUUCAAGGAGUUCUGGAGUGGAACAGUGGAAUGGGAUUGUGAACACGCACAAAGCCAGAAGGAAAGACAGAGAGGAGGAGAGGAGGGAGCCAGGGAGUGGAGCAAAGGGAUGAGAGAGAGUUAAAGGAAAAGUAGAACAUGAGGAGAACAAAUGCAACGGUUAAUGACAGUAAUGAGGCAGUAAUGGAAGGGUCACCUGAGACCUUGGUGGCAGACUUGUCAACAACAGGGGGAAAUAAAACAACAACUAAUGAUUUCAUACUGAGAGCCCAUCAGCCUGCCAAACUGCCUUGAGCACCAAAUGCCCAACACAUAAAAACAAUAGAAAAAGGCAGACAGAUGACGAUCAAUGACAAGGAUGAUGAAACAGGCUCGUGCCUCGCCAUUUAAACACCACCGAUGCGGUUUAAGGGGACGGAAAGCACACGGACAAAGUUCCAGGGUGAAUACCGCAGCCUUCAAAGUCAGAGAUGAGAGCACUGCAGGACCACCGUGCCCUCAGGAUGGAUGUUCCGUGUCCAACACGGUGGAACACAGCCAACUCUACGCAGAGCUGAAGGAAGAGCACGUCGGACACCAGCCCAGUGCCACAGCACCUCCCCCAUUCCUCCAAUCAAACACACAGCCAGGUGAUCAGGUCCAAGAAUGUUCUAUGGCCGCACUGAGAGCAUCUUCACAGGCUGGGUCGCAAAGGGCUUUAGAGGGGUGUGUGAACAGCCAACCCUAUCAAGACUGAGCGCCCUGCCACCUAGCACCGGGUCAGAGAGGUUUGACUGAUAUUAAAUUAUUCUCCCACCCUAAAGAGUCAGGCAGUUACUGUCUUUCUGUGUUUACAUAGCUUUAUGAUUGAUCUCCACUGCAGCCAAUUACGUUCUUGGUCUGGCCUGGGCCUCAAAGGCAGUUGUUUGUGAAAGGGAAGAAAAGUUAAACACAGCUUGUAGAAAAGACAAAAGUGCAAGCGCUCCUCUCUGACAAACUCUCAAUCUGUGAGCUAAUGGAAAAUUCUGUUUUUUUCAAAUGAACAAAGUUUAUAUUGCAAAGUGAUGAAAUAUCUAGAUGAGCACUCAUUCAAAACUGGUAACGGUUAAAUUGGGCUCAAUCUGGAGAGUUAAAAGAGGACCUUGGCAGUAUUACAAACUUGAUAUUUCUAGUAUGCUAGAUGAUUAAAGAAGGGAUGUGUCCAUGAACCUCAGACAGUAGUCUUCAAGGCUGUUUUUCUCUCAGACAGACCAUUAGCAGCAACCUGUCCUCUGGUUGCAAUUAUAUAAUAACUAUACGCACAUUUAAACUGUAUCAGACAUUUUUUCUCCAGUGGAUUUUCAUGUUUUCAUAAUCUACUGAUAAUGUGACUGAGGCAGAAAUGCUACAUAACAUUUAAAUACUUUAAUAGCUUCAGCCCUUUUACACAUGGCUUUGUUGGGAAGCAACUUAACAGGCCCUUUAAUGGUACAAUGUGUUCUGCUAUGUUUCCUUAUGUGGACUGUGCUUAACGUAUUCUCUUCUGGACACAUUUCUAUUGAUACAUUUAUAAUAAAACUUUACACUGUUUUUCACCCUUCACCAUUUAUGCAUGUUGAAUUACGGUCUUGCUAAAUAUGCA
Long non-coding RNA from Esox lucius (northern pike), 1750 nucleotides. Lineage: Eukaryota; Metazoa; Chordata; Actinopteri; Esociformes; Esocidae. The record is from Ensembl.